GAUGAAGAACGCAGCAAAAUGCGAUAAGUAAUGUGAAUUGCAGAAUUCAGUGAAUCAUCGAAUCUUUGAACGCACAUUGCGCCCGCCAGUAUUCUGGCGGGCAUGCCUGUUCGAGCGUCAUUUCAACCCUCAAGCACAGCUUGGUGUUGGGACUCGCGUUAAUUCGCGUUCCCCAAAUUGAUUGGCGGUCACGUCGAGCUUCCAUAGCGUAGUAGUAAAACCCUCGUUACUGGUAAUCGUCGCGGCCACGCCGUUAAACCCCAACUUCUGAAUGUUGACCUCGGAUCAGGUAGGAAUACCCGCUGAACUUAAGCAUAUCAAUAAACGGAGGA
Molecule: unclassified non-coding RNA, 332 nt
Filed under: soil metagenome
Description: partial contains 5.8S ribosomal RNA, internal transcribed spacer 2, and large subunit ribosomal RNA
Rfam family: 5.8S ribosomal RNA (bases 1-120)
Source: RNAcentral